Molecule: long non-coding RNA, 432 nt
Filed under: Homo sapiens (human)
Lineage: Eukaryota; Metazoa; Chordata; Mammalia; Primates; Hominidae
Description: HSALNT0230247
Source: RNAcentral
CAGUGCCUGCACUCUAUUUCCUUCCUAGGCACCUCCCUUUGGGCAGUGCUGGUCGUGUUUGGUCACCCAUGAGAUCCAGGGACCUGCCUUUGCCUCCUGCUCGAAGGAAGGGACCUGGGUCCUUCUGAGGGAGCCAGACCUCUGGCCCAGAAAGCCAGACAUUGUGUGGAAGGAGCGUUCCUGGCCCAGGGUCUUCCUGUGUAUCCUUGCCCCAUCGAUCAAGUGCUGUGGGAGCUGUUUUAAGGUGAAAACCUAGAUGCACAGCACUUCCUUGUCCUCAUGAAAGGAGCAGAGGUCUUCACAGGCCUCUGGGCUGCCCCGAGAACCUCUCUAUUCCAGGCCCCUCUGCAGACCCCUCCAGACGCCAGAACUCCAGGCAGUGGCCUGAGCUGUCACUCCUUGCUCUGAGACCCCUACCUCUGCCAUGAGACC